This 29-nucleotide non-coding RNA is filed under the name Homo sapiens (human). The record is from RNAcentral. Lineage: Eukaryota; Metazoa; Chordata; Mammalia; Primates; Hominidae.
UCCUAGAGAUUAGCAGAUUGCAUUGCGUG